Brienomyrus brachyistius is the source of this 1177-nucleotide long non-coding RNA. RefSeq lists it as uncharacterized. The transcript is spliced from 2 exons. The record is from RefSeq and is a predicted model, not a curated record. NCBI's taxonomy places the organism in Eukaryota, Metazoa, Chordata, Actinopteri, Osteoglossiformes, Mormyridae.
UGCUUGUUAAGGCUGCCCUGUCUCAGAGCCCAGCAGCCCCCCUCCCUGAAGUCUGCUGAGGCCAGCAGCUGCACACAAACCAGACACUGCAAGAAGAGUCUACAGCCAUAACAAAGCAUCUUCCCCUGACUUUGUUUCCGCGGAAACUGAUGUGCGCGCAUCACUUCCUCCCGGCAAAUCCAGCGAUUCCUCACAUCUGUAGCAGGGCGAUCUUCUGACAGCACCCGUCCGCAGAGGCUAUCCUGCGACCCUAGAUGAACCUGGAAUUUUUCACAGGCUGCCUAAAGCUAACUGGGUCUUUGAGGACCGGCAGCCAUACAGAAAAAGAGGGAACAUUGCAGCCCUUUUCCCAGCAAGCUGGAGGGGGCCAGUGGGUCUUUACAUGUAUGUAUGAUGGAGCUCUCUCACAUUUCCAGCAAGUUCUGCUUCUGGAGAAGAGUCAGAGGUGGACGUUGCUGCUCUGCUGCUUCUGAAAUUCACCUCAGGAUUCAUUUCCCUUUUCUCUGACCGACAAUCUCAGUCUGUAUCAUCUUCCCCUACUUGUAAAACCCCUUGUCCCAUCAGUCCUCACUACCAUACUGAGAUUAAGAGUGAUUAAUGACUACUAUGAAGCCAGUCUAUCCGAUUGGCUCGUUAUAAGGCCACACUUUGUUCAAAUGUGCAGAAAGUAGCCCUUAAGGGCCCUAAUUCUCGCUCCGUAUCGCGUGCGGAGCUCAUCAUGGCAGCAGGUGAGAAGCCUCAAGGCUGAGCUCUGAAAUGCUUCCCCCAGAAAGCACAGAGCAAAUUUUUACACCGGAUUUUUACUCUCCCUUUCUGUACAUGUGUUUAAUCACCAUUAUCUCCAUUGUGCAAUCGACCAGACGCCUUCCAUCUGAUCUAUGUUGAAUCAUUCAUUGCCUAAUCGAUCCCAUUUCGCCCUGGAAGAAAUAUGGGAAUGUUCUGAUUAUCGUUUCGCAUUACUAGUCAAAGAGAAAGUGACCAUGAGUGAUUCUAGAGUUUUGUAGUGUUACCUGAAAGGGGCACAUUAUAACUGCGACUGUGACGUCUUUUGUUGGCAUAUUUUUCUGUAAUACAUCACCACCACCCGUUCUAUCUAUCUAUCUGUCUUUCUGUCUGACUGUCUGUCUGUCUCUUGAUUGGUGAGAAACGGAAGCACAUAAAUACUAUAGGUAUCGCA